RNAcentral lists this long non-coding RNA (359 nucleotides) under Capsella rubella. Its description in RNAcentral is "long non-coding RNA (CRUB_LNC004090)". Lineage: Eukaryota; Viridiplantae; Streptophyta; Magnoliopsida; Brassicales; Brassicaceae. The record is from RNAcentral.
GACGAAGUGGCAAUUUGCUUUGUAAAACUAGUUGUUUUGGUGCCUGGAGUUUUUUUUUUUUUUAACUCUUGAUUUAUUAUUUAUUGCAAAUUAUGAGAAUUGUUACAAUGACGAUUCUACUACCGACAAUUAUGUCCGACCCUUUUAGAUUCACCACAGAUUACACCAUUUCCUGACGACAUCUCUUUCUCUAUGCGUAGAAUCACGGCAAACGGCUCUAAUUGUGCAAUGUUAUAGAUCUCUUGUAGACUUAUUUCUUUAAUCUGCAAAUUAAAUAAAUCGCAUUACUUGAACGUCGAACCCCAGACCUCUUGAUGUAGAAGAUUUAAACAACCUUUCGUCAACCACUAGACUAAGGG